This 630-nucleotide ribosomal RNA is filed under the name uncultured Actinomycetes bacterium. RNAcentral describes it as "bacterial SSU rRNA". It matches the Rfam family "Bacterial small subunit ribosomal RNA", at positions 231 to 871 of the family's 1533-position model. Lineage: Bacteria; Bacillati; Actinomycetota; Actinomycetes. The record is from RNAcentral.
UCGCGGCCUAUCAGCUUGUUGGUGAGGUAACGGCUCACCAAGGCGACGACGGGUAGCCGGCCUGAGAGGGUGACCGGCCACACUGGGACUGAGACACGGCCCAGACUCCUACGGGAGGCAGCAGUGGGGAAUAUUGCACAAUGGGCGCAAGCCUGAUGCAGCAACGCCGCGUGAGGGACGACGGCCUUCGGGUUGUAAACCUCCUUUAGUAGGGAAGAAGUGAAAGUGACGGUACCUGCAGAAAAAGCACCGGCUAACUACGUGCCAGCAGCCGCGGUAAUACGUAGGGUGCAAGCGUUGUCCGGAAUUAUUGGGCGUAAAGAGCUCGUAGGCGGUCUGUCGCGUCUGCUGUGAAAACCCGAGGCUCAACCUCGGGCCUGCAGUGGGUACGGGCAGACUAGAGUGCGGUAGGGGAGAUUGGAAUUCCUGGUGUAGCGGUGGAAUGCGCAGAUAUCAGGAGGAACACCGAUGGCGAAGGCAGAUCUCUGGGCCGUAACUGACGCUGAGGAGCGAAAGCGUGGGGAGCGAACAGGAUUAGAUACCCUGGUAGUCCACGCCGUAAACGUUGGGCGCUAGAUGUGGGGACCAUUCCACGGUUUCCGUGUCGCAGCUAACGCAUUAAGCGCCCCG